Chiloscyllium plagiosum (whitespotted bambooshark) is the source of this 535-nucleotide non-coding RNA. Lineage: Eukaryota; Metazoa; Chordata; Chondrichthyes; Orectolobiformes; Hemiscylliidae. The record is from the annotation of a RefSeq genome assembly.
UCAAUAGAAUUUGUAGGUUCAGUCACAUGAUUGGCCGGGAAACUGUCAAUCACAGUUCACCAAUCUAGUGGUUUAUCUAUGGCAGCAUUUCAAAAGCGCCCUCCUAUCGACCAGUAACGCUGGCGCUCAGUUCCUGAAAAGAGCGAUGGCAAUGUCAGUUCAAGCGAUCACAAUCUGUCUCACCCUGUUGCUCGCUCAAUGGAUUCAGUGGAUUCGAGCUGCGCCGACUGUAGUCCAGUCUUCAGCAGGGGCCACGAUUCCACACGGACAUCCUGCCACUUUGACCUGUAGUGUGAAGGGAGAGAGCAUGAGCAGCUAUACUAUGCAAUGGUACCGCCAACAAGGGACAGCAAUAGAAUGGUUGUGCAAUGAAUAUAAAAGCUGUGCGCCAGAUUUGAAUAAUAAAUUGGAAGUGCAACACGACUCUUCAAAUAACCGGUUUAUCCUGAAGCUGAAGAAGGCACAGUCGGUAGACUCUGCAAUCUACUACUGUGUAGCUAGUACGGCACAGAAACACAACCUAACCACAGACUGA